UACGAGGGGGGCAAAUGUUGUUCGGAAUCACUGGGCGUAAAGGGAGCGUAGGCGGGUGUUUAAGUUAGGUGUUUAAGCCCGGGGCUCAACCCCGGAAUUGCCUUUGAAACUGGAAAACUUGAAUCUUGGAGAGGUCAGUGGAAUUCCGAGUGUAGAGGUGAAAUUCGUAGAUAUUAGGAAGAACACCGGUGGCGAAGGCGGCCCACUGGUCCGGUACUGACGCUGAGGUGCGAAAGCGUGGGGAGCAAACAGG
RNAcentral lists this ribosomal RNA (253 nucleotides) under uncultured bacterium. Its description in RNAcentral is "partial 16S ribosomal RNA". It matches the Rfam family "Bacterial small subunit ribosomal RNA", at positions 524 to 776 of the family's 1533-position model. The record is from RNAcentral.